Molecule: ribosomal RNA, 1812 nt
Filed under: Escherichia coli
Lineage: Bacteria; Pseudomonadati; Pseudomonadota; Gammaproteobacteria; Enterobacterales; Enterobacteriaceae
Description: bacterial LSU rRNA
Rfam family: Bacterial large subunit ribosomal RNA
Source: RNAcentral
CGGGACACGUGGUAUCCUGUCUGAAUAUGGGGGGACCAUCCUCCAAGGCUAAAUACUCCUGACUGACCGAUAGUGAACCAGUACCGUGAGGGAAAGGCGAAAAGAACCCCGGCGAGGGGAGUGAAAAAGAACCUGAAACCGUGUACGUACAAGCAGUGGGAGCACGCUUAGGCGUGUGACUGCGUACCUUUUGUAUAAUGGGUCAGCGACUUAUAUUCUGUAGCAAGGUUAACCGAAUAGGGGAGCCGAAGGGAAACCGAGUCUUAACUGGGCGUUAAGUUGCAGGGUAUAGACCCGAAACCCGGUGAUCUAGCCAUGGGCAGGUUGAAGGUUGGGUAACACUAACUGGAGGACCGAACCGACUAAUGUUGAAAAAUUAGCGGAUGACUUGUGGCUGGGGGUGAAAGGCCAAUCAAACCGGGAGAUAGCUGGUUCUCCCCGAAAGCUAUUUAGGUAGCGCCUCGUGAAUUCAUCUCCGGGGGUAGAGCACUGUUUCGGCAAGGGGGUCAUCCCGACUUACCAACCCGAUGCAAACUGCGAAUACCGGAGAAUGUUAUCACGGGAGACACACGGCGGGUGCUAACGUCCGUCGUGAAGAGGGAAACAACCCAGACCGCCAGCUAAGGUCCCAAAGUCAUGGUUAAGUGGGAAACGAUGUGGGAAGGCCCAGACAGCCAGGAUGUUGGCUUAGAAGCAGCCAUCAUUUAAAGAAAGCGUAAUAGCUCACUGGUCGAGUCGGCCUGCGCGGAAGAUGUAACGGGGCUAAACCAUGCACCGAAGCUGCGGCAGCGACGCUGAUGCGUUGUUGGGUAGGGGAGCGUUCUGUAAGCCUGCGAAGGUGUGCUGUGAGGCAUGCUGGAGGUAUCAGAAGUGCGAAUGCUGACAUAAGUAACGAUAAAGCGGGUGAAAAGCCCGCUCGCCGGAAGACCAAGGGUUCCUGUCCAACGUUAAUCGGGGCAGGGUGAGUCGACCCCUAAGGCGAGGCCGAAAGGCGUAGUCGAUGGGAAACAGGUUAAUAUUCCUGUACUUGGUGUUACUGCGAAGGGGGGACGGAGAAGGCUAUGUUGGCCGGGCGACGGUUGUCCCGGUUUAAGCGUGUAGGCUGGUUUUCCAGGCAAAUCCGGAAAAUCAAGGCUGAGGCGUGAUGACGAGGCACUACGGUGCUGAAGCAACAAAUGCCCUGCUUCCAGGAAAAGCCUCUAAGCAUCAGGUAACAUCAAAUCGUACCCCAAACCGACACAGGUGGUCAGGUAGAGAAUACCAAGGCGCUUGAGAGAACUCGGGUGAAGGAACUAGGCAAAAUGGUGCCGUAACUUCGGGAGAAGGCACGCUGAUAUGUAGGUGAAGUCCCUCGCGGAUGGAGCUGAAAUCAGUCGAAGAUACCAGCUGGCUGCAACUGUUUAUUAAAAACACAGCACUGUGCAAACACGAAAGUGGACGUAUACGGUGUGACGCCUGCCCGGUGCCGGAAGGUUAAUUGAUGGGGUUAGCGCAAGCGAAGCUCUUGAUCGAAGCCCCGGUAAACGGCGGCCGUAACUAUAACGGUCCUAAGGUAGCGAAAUUCCUUGUCGGGUAAGUUCCGACCUGCACGAAUGGCGUAAUGAUGGCCAGGCUGUCUCCACCCGAGACUCAGUGAAAUUGAACUCGCUGUGAAGAUGCAGUGUACCCGCGGCAAGACGGAAAGACCCCGUGAACCUUUACUAUAGCUUGACACUGAACAUUGAGCCUUGAUGUGUAGGAUAGGUGGGAGGCUUUGAAGUGUGGACGCCAGUCUGCAUGGAGCCGACCUUGAAAUACCACCCUUUAAUGUUU